Molecule: long non-coding RNA, 567 nt
Organism: Girardinichthys multiradiatus
Lineage: Eukaryota; Metazoa; Chordata; Actinopteri; Cyprinodontiformes; Goodeidae
Exons: 2
Source: RefSeq, a predicted model, not a curated record
AGCCUCCGUCUUCAAAGCCUCUCCAACCUCAUUAGUUUCAGCAUCAGGGUGUUGCAUCCAUUGCUUAGGGAACAGAUGAUCCUGUAAUCACAGACGUCUGCCACGCAUCGAUGCGGAUAAUCAGCUGCAACUGCGACUUUUGCAGAGAAAAUGUUUCCAGAAAGGGCAGCCGACAACAGAGAAGGCAGAACAGCUUGAGUCAGUUGAAAACGAAACAGGAGCAGGAGGGCCCAGCACUGUGUCUCCUGUAGAUCCUGAAUCACUCAGUGGACGUAACGGCGGUAAUCUGGAACAGUACAAACUUCAGUGAUAGUUGUAUGUGAAAAUACCAGUUGAUCAGCAGUUUUUCUGGCACCAUCAACCAUGCCACAUUCAAAUCACCUUUCCUCCCGCUUUGAUGCUUGCUUUGAACUUUAGCAAAUCGUCGUGCAGCCAUGCAAUUGGUUAAUAUGUUUUAACAACCAAUUUAAAUAAUUGAGUGUUUGUCUGCAUUAAAAGGCUAAAUAAAAAUGCAUGACACACUUUUCAGAUGUUUAUUUGCAAACAAAUAAAAUUCUGUAAACCACU